AGCAGCCGCGGUAAUUCCAGCUCCAAUAGCGUAUAUUAAAGUUGCUGCAGUUAAAAAGCUCGUAGUUGAAUUUCGGGACUAAUAUGUCGGUCGUGCCUCGGUAUGUACUGGUAUUUUUGGUUUCUCCUUCUGACGAACCUUGAUGUCAUUAAUUUGGUGUCUUGAGGAAUCAGGACUGUUACUUUGAAAAAAUUAGAGUGUUUAAAGCAGGCUCACGCUUGAAUACAUUAGCAUGGAAUAAUGAAAUAGGACGUUUGAUUCUAUUUUGUUGGUUUCUAGGAUCGACGUAAUGAUUAAUAGGGAUAGUUGGGGGCAUUAGUAUUCAAUUGUCAGAGGUGAAAUUCUUGGAUUUAUUGAAGACUAACUACUGCGAAAGCAUUUGCCAAGGAUGUUUUCAUUAAUCAAGAACGAAAGUUAGGGGAUCGAAGACGAUCAGAUACCGUCGUAGUCUUAACCAUAAACUAUGCCGACUAGGGAUCGGAUGAUGUUAAUUUUUUAAUGACUCAUUCGGCGCCUUACG
This 520-nucleotide ribosomal RNA is filed under the name uncultured Glomus. RNAcentral describes it as "SSU rRNA". It matches the Rfam family "Eukaryotic small subunit ribosomal RNA", at positions 569 to 1092 of the family's 1831-position model. The record is from RNAcentral. Lineage: Eukaryota; Fungi; Glomeromycota; Glomeromycetes; Glomerales; Glomeraceae.